AUAAAUGUUCCUUUUCUUUGUAAAAAUACAAUUUAUUUUUGGAUAUUUAAUUUUUUUUUGUAAAAAAGAAAGCCCAUGGGCUGGCCCUAACCCACAGGGUUUUGGGGCUUUUUAGCCCUGGGGGCUUUUUCAAUAAAGGUCUUUUUUGGCCCUAGGGGCUUUUUUGGCCCCAACCCACAUGGGUUAGGGCCAGGGCCUAUUAGAGGGCCUAAUUGACAACUCUAAGCAGAGGGUUCACUUGUUCAGCUGACAGCAAAGGGGAGUGUGAGAAAAGCAAGCUGGACUUCACGGCCCACAAGCAUGCAACUGCUAUGGAAGGCAUGGCCAAGGCUUCUAACUAUUAGAAGAAUUUACAGCUGAAUCACUUGGGCUACACAUUGAACAUGUGUCACGGCCUUGCACAACUUUGCAGCAUCCAACAAGCAUCCUUCCAGCCAUACCACGGUCCAGCAACCCACCAAUUCUCCAUCCAGCAACACGCUCAGAUGCACAUCAAAUGGUCCAGCGUUGAAGAACGUCCUGCAGCAAAAGAAGUAUAACACGGUCAAAAGGUAUUAAACGCUGCAGCUGCUGACUUUAUUUGGUUUGGAGAAUUAAAAGCAAGCGGGAAGUGCUUGAAGUAAAGCAACAUCCACAAGAGGUUCUCGAUCCAGGACUUCAUGCGUCCAAGCAUCAACGUCCAGCCUCCACAUGGACAGCACCGGUUCAGCAACAUCUUGAAGCAUCCAGCAUUCUUCAUCCACGCUGCAGCAGGCCACACCUCACGGAUAGCCCAGUAAUGACGUUCAGGUAUCAUGUGUCCUGCAGCCUUCAUCACACUCCACGCUGGUGCACACCCAUAAACACCACAGCCCAUCUAUUAAUAGCACCCGUCCAGCUUUCAAGCACGGUAGCUUCCAUUCCACACGGCCCAGCUUGAAAUUGGUCACGGCCUGGCAGAAUUAGACAGCAGCUACAGCAUUCACGCGAAGGAAGAAGCUUCACGGACAACAGCUUGGGAACGUCCAAGGCCUGCAACCUAUCCAUCUUCACGGCCUGCGGCUCCUUGAGGAAAUGCAACGGCCCAUGCAGCAACACAUGAAAAAGUUAUUUGGUUCAACAAGGAGCUCAUGUUCACGUGACACUAGCAGUUGAUCCAAAGAAAAAUAAGCUAGCAGUCGGCCUAGCAUCUACAUGCUUCCAGCAGCACUUCAACGUGUCACAACUUGGGCUGGAAUAUUAGAGCAGUUUCAGUCCAUGUGCAAAGGAUGGAGGUGCAAAGAGGAGCCACGGGUAGGUCCAACAUCCAGAAGCACGAAGGGCAGCAACACGGGAAGGAGGAAAAAUGAAUCCCUUCAUAUUUUAGCUAGGGAGCCGCCACUCAAAAAGGAGGUCUUUCACUUGUUUUAGAGAGACACGAAUAUUGAAGAGAUGGGAGGUUACGACUAGAGUUGUUAGUAUUUAAAGGUUGUGAAAGGAGUAGUUGAUAAGGUAGAGAAAAUGUAGAGAUAGUAGGAUGUAGAAGUAGUAGUUGGAAGAAGUGUAGUAGUUGUCUUAGUUGUUGUAGAUGUUGGCUUCUU
RNAcentral lists this long non-coding RNA (1559 nucleotides) under Vigna radiata. Its description in RNAcentral is "long non-coding RNA (VRAD_LNC014178)". Lineage: Eukaryota; Viridiplantae; Streptophyta; Magnoliopsida; Fabales; Fabaceae. The record is from RNAcentral.